RNAcentral lists this ribosomal RNA (497 nucleotides) under uncultured bacterium. RNAcentral's name for it is "partial 16S ribosomal RNA". It matches the Rfam family "Bacterial small subunit ribosomal RNA", at positions 28 to 507 of the family's 1533-position model. The record is from RNAcentral.
GAUGAACGCUGGCGGCGUGCCUAAUACAUGCAAGUCGAGCGAACGGACGAGAAGCUUGCUUCUCUGAUGUUAGCGGCGGACGGGUGAGUAACACGUGGAUAACCUACCUAUAAGACUGGGAUAACUUCGGGAAAACGGAGCUAAUACCGGACAAUAUUUUGAACCGCAUGGUUCAAAAGUGAAAGACGGUCUUGCUGUCACUUAUAGAUGGAUCCGCGCUGCAUUAGCUAGUUGGUAAGGUAACGGCUUACCAAGGCAACGAUGCAUAGCCGACCUGAGAGGGUGAUCAGCCACACUGGAACUGUGACGCGGUCCGGACUCCUACGGGAGGCGACAGUGGAGAAUCUUCCACAAUGGGCGAGAGCCUGACGGGACAACGCCGCGUGAGUGAUAAAAUUCUUCGGAUCGUAAAACUCUGUUAUUAGGGAAGGACAUAUGUGUGAGUAACUGUGCACAUCUUGACGGUACCUAAUCAGAAAGCCACGGCUAACUACGUG